This 71-nucleotide transfer RNA is filed under the name Loxodonta africana (African savanna elephant). It matches the Rfam family "tRNA". Rfam says of the family: Transfer RNA (tRNA) molecules are approximately 80 nucleotides in length. The record is from Rfam by way of RNAcentral. Lineage: Eukaryota; Metazoa; Chordata; Mammalia; Proboscidea; Elephantidae.
GCAUUGGUGAUUCAGUGGUAGAAUUCUUACCUUCGGUGCGGAAGACCUGGGUUUGAUUACCAGCCAGUGUG